AAGUUAUUGAAUUGGACGGGAAAACGCAUACAGCAAUUCUUUUCUUUAGAUUUAUAAGAACUCAAGCUCUCCAACGAUUCUUCUUAAACCUCCAACCACACCCUUAAACUGAAAAUUAAACAACUUUAAAAACAUUUUUUUUUUUCUUUUCUUUUCUUUUCUUCGUAUACAAUCUUUCUUUUUCUUUUUUUUUAUUUUUUUUUAUACAAACAUGAAAUACCCCCACACUUAUUUUUUUGCCAAACACCUUCAAAGUACUUUACAAACAUUUCUCAUAAGACAAUCUCGCAUUGCUCGCUUGGAAAGGGUAAGGAAAAAAUGUUUCAGGUGUAAGGGUAGACAUAUCUGGUGAUAAGAAAUAAAAGGUUCAACAUACACGGCUCAAAUUGGCAAUCUAAUGAUAUCAUUUUUCUUUGGGAAACAUGGUUAUUUGGGCCAUGGUGGUAAACCUAAUGCCUCUAUCAUUUCCAAGUUCAUGCAAUCAAUGAUAAACAUUUCGAAAGAUCGUUACGCAAGUUCUAGAGAUAUAUCUCACAUAAGUUCAUCACACAUGAAAGAAUAGGAGUGUAUGAAAAAUGCACACACUUUCAAUAGGCUCAAAAACUCACAUGGGAUGUAUAUGGUCACUAAAUUCACAUAUGAAGCUUUAAGUCAUGCUUUAGUUUCACAUCAACAAGGCUAUGUGCAUUUGGUUUUUCAAAGAUGAUCAAACAUAUACAAAACUAACAAGAGAAUUAGGAACUUCAUAAAACAUAUGUUAACUAAGUUCUUGAUGAUCAUGAUUCAAAUUUGAUCUAAUUAUAUCAUUGGGUCGGGAAACUAACAAAAAUCUAAUUCAAAACAAUAAGGGAAACAAGACAAUAUUUUUGGAUUUUUUAAAUUUUCCGAUUUUUUUUUUUUUUUUUUAUAGAGAAAACAAAACUAAAAAAAAUUAAAAAAUAAAAAGCAACAACACAGAAACAAAUGAAAUUCUAGAGAUUUCUACCCCCACACUUAAACUUGACAUUGUCCCCAAUGUCAGAAAACACUAUAAUGCAAAAAUAAAUAAAAUAAACAAAAUAAUAAAAAAAACAAAAUAAAGCAAUUGGACUGAAAACUUCCCUAAUUUGCAGUAAAAUCAAGCGAUGACCCUCAAGCUAAAAUUCUGCAAUCAACUUCAAGGGUGGAAAUAACCAAAAGUUCCUGCAAAGAAAAGGAAAAAUUCAGUUAAGUACGCAAGAAAAUUAAUUAAAAAAAAUAUUGCAAACGAAAAAUUGAAAAUUACGAUAAAAGAUAAUGAAUAAAACUAAUAAAUAAUCAUUGGUCGUGCUUGUUGACUUUCCACAGCUUUCCUCUUGAACAGGGUGACACUUAGCUUUUUACUUGCAAGUGAUGAUUUGAUGAUAUUGUACGGCGAAGCUUUGCUCUUUGGUUAUGUUGCAGUUCCUUAUUUGUUCUCCAAGCAGAUGUGGCAGCUUCUCUAGUUCCUCAGUUCGGACUCCUUCCGCUGGGAUGAUUGUGCAAGCUGCAUUCUUCUCUGCUUGUUUCUUCUGCACAACGGGCAGGCACGAGGGAAAGGUGUUGGUCCUUAUUUCUUUCUUCAAUCUUUCCAAGUGCCCACCUCUUGCUUUCUUUCUCCUUGUCCCUAGCUGAAUUGUCUCCACAUGCUUCGAGGUAUCAUUUUCACUUCCCUUACUGUCCCCCAGGCAGAUGUGGUAGACGAAGAGAAAGCAUAAAAUGAAGAAGAUGAGUACUCGAGAGCAAGGCUAGGUAAGCAAUCAGGAAAGGGUUCCAGGCAGUUGGCUCCAGAUUGGAAGAUUGAUACCAAAUGCUGGCUGAUUGCUCUCUUUCUCCUUGUCGGAAAACAAAGACAAGGAGAAGGACAUGGAGAAAGCAUGAUAUGAGAUACUCUUGCUUUCAACCUUUAUGAUAUGAAAUACUUUUGCUUUGAAUAGGUUGUUCGCAGGAGUAUCCCAAGGAAUGAGGAACACAGAGUGACUCGAGAGGAUUCUUUGGGAAUGCAUUUUCGGAGAUGAAGAGGUGCUGAGAGGGUGUGCUGAGAGAGUGUGCUUUUGCUGUGGAAGGCGAAGGUAGAAACUUAUAGGACUUGUCUUCACAACCGGAACUGUUCUCUCACUUAGUGUCGGCAGCCGGUGGAUGGGUGAAGAAUACAAAUUACGCGCUUUCUGACAAAGCUGCCCGUAAUUUCCGCAAAGCUGAUUCCUCAUUGAUAUCUGUAAUCGGCGCUUCGAGCUCUGAGCAUCGUCGAUUGUAGAGGUAGCAUGUGACACGUGCGGAUAAAUCUGGAAAAGAAGAUUUUCCCGUGGGUUGAAGCCCAGCUUUUGAGAAAGCUAGCGUGUCUUUGACUGUUGAAUUUCCCUCUUCGAUUUCUGAAUUGGUGCUUCGACAAAUUGCCCGAGAUUUCCGCAAAGCAAUUUGCGUGUGACAAGUGACGACACGUCUGGACAAAUUGAUCUUUUGAAAUCCGGGGUUCGGCUCGUGGUUUCUGAGCAAGCCCAGCCUUUAAGAAAUGAAACGCCUCUUUUGAGAAAAGAAUCCGGCUUUUGAGAAAGGAAACUCCUCUUUUGAGAAAAGAAUCAGACGUUUUGAGAACGGAGCCCCGACUCUUCGAUUUGCGAGAGGACGCUUCUCUGAGGAGCGCCUCUUUGAUUUCUUCCUUUUUAUAGAGACGUUAAGCUUGUUCCACAACACACUUGAGUACCCUCCCGUAAACACUCCCUUCUUGCACUUGUUUAAUCUUGAUCAUUCCGACUCUCUUCUUGUCUUUACCACCUCUGAAAAAUGUCUGGCCCUUCUGAUCGUCGUUUUGACUUGAACAUUGGUGAAGAGGCAGCUCCGCCUUCACCAGACAACAUAUGGCGGCCAUCCUUCAUAUCCCUACCGGUCCCCUUACCGUGGGGGAUUCGAUGAUGAAAAAUGACAUGACCGCUGCGGUGGUGGCCCGAAACCUUGUCACUCCCAGAGAUAACAGACUGCUCGCAAGGCGGUCUGAUGAAUUGGCAGUCAAGGAGUCUCUGGCUCUUCAGUGUGCAGUGUGCGGGUUCCGUAUCCAACAUGGCCCAACGCCUAUAUGCCCGAACCCGUCACGUUGAAUCCUUGGUGGCUGAAAUACAGAGUCUCAAGCAAGAGAUUAAAGGGCUCAAGCAUGAGAAUAAGGAAUUGCACAAGCUCGCACACAGCUAUGCCACCAGCAUGAAGAGGAAGAUUGACCAGAUGCAGGACACCGAUGGUCAAAUUUUACUUGAUCAUCGGAGGUUUGUGGGUUUGUUCCAACCGCAUCUGCCUUCGUCUUCUGGGGGCGGCACCGCGUAGUGAAGCUCCAACUGAUCAACCUCUGCCGCCUCCUCCUUCUGUGGCCCCGCCGACUGCUGAAGCCCCGCCUACUACUGAAGCACCACCCGACCAAUGAAUACUAUUAGUUUACAUCAUUGUAAAAUAUUUGUACUUUUUUUUUUUUUUUUUUUUUUUUUUUUUUUUUUUUUUUUUUGUAAUUUUUUUUUUUUUUUUUUUUUUUUUUCAUUAAUUUUAAAUUUUAUCUUUUUUUUUUUUUUUUUUUGUAAAUUAAAGUAGAAAGACUUUGGUUAACCUUCCCCCACACUUAAACUAAAUAACACAAACUCACAGAAAUCAAACAAAUAACACAACUAACUAAAACAAACAAAAUGAAAGCAGUAAAGAUAAGGGUGUAAAAAUGCAAAUCUGAUUGGGUUAGCGAUUCCAAAGUCUCCCUUCGUUGAAUGCUUGGGUUGCCUCCCAAGAAGCGCUUGAUUUAACGUCUUUAGCCGGACGCAUCUUUCCUUUAAAUUUCCCUCAGCUCCAUUUGUGCCUAAAAUCAAAGAAAGAAAAAUAAAUCAAAUAUCAAAAGUAAAAUACACAAACACCAAUAUAAACAUAAACAAAAACAAAAAUAAAAGGAUUAGCAAAGUUACUAAUCCCCGGCAACGGCGCCAAAAUUUGAUGCGUAAAAUUACUUGACACACAAAUUAAACCCUCUUUUUGACAAUUGUAGUAUAGAUGUAAGUAGGGUAUCGUUCUAGGCCGGGGAUUAGGAGGGAUUGCUAAUCUAUUCUAAAUUAAUUUAAAAAUAUUAAAUAAGACUCAAGGACACAAAAUUAGGCUAAAAACUCUAAUAACUCGAAACACACUUAAAAUGACUCAAAAUAAUGAAAACAAUUAAAUUAAACACUAGGAACUGAAAUGGACGGAAAUUAAAUUAAAAGACUAACAAUAAAGAAAACUAACUAAAUAAUAUAAUUUAAUAAUGGAUGGGUGUUUGGUUUUGAUGAAAAGUAAAUUAAACUUAAUUAAAUUACAGAAUUGAUAAAAACAUAAAAUUAAGGUAAAAUGAUAAAUGACGGACUAGCUAGAGGGUUCUUCUCCACACAUGUUAUACUUGCAUACAAAAUGAUUUCCAGUUGUUCAUUUAAUAAAUUGUGAAUCUCAAUACUCCAGAUUAACCGUGAACAGCACUUUUUUAAUCUUCAAGUUUUCCUUAAGUUAUUGAAUUGGACGGGAAAAACGCAUACAACAAUUCAAAACAUUCUUCAAAAGUCCCCUACGUGAAAAGCACAAUAGAGAUACAAUCAAAGAUCAUUAAACUUUGUGAAAACUAUAAGCAUUGACGAGGCAUUCGUAACUAUGAAAAAGCAUGAUACUCUUGCCAAGAAUUUACUUAACGUGAUUGUGACUAGCAACCUUUACUACUUGUGAAAAUAAGUUCAUAACGAUUAGGUGAAAUUCACUUAUAUUCUAGCAUCAAAUUCAUGCAUGUAAAUUAAGCGUGCACUCUCAACCAACAUACACAAAUCAGUUUUUAUACGAACGGAUAAGUAAAUUGAAUUCACAACUUAUAACUCACAACUGAAGAUAAUCAAUUCAUAUUACAAAUAUAUUCAUGGUUUCGAAUUAACCUCUAACCAACAUAAAUUUAAUUACACAUUAUUAAAAACAGAAAUAAAAUAUGAGUUUGGAAGGAUUUAACCGAAAGAGAAGGGUGCUUGCUGCUUCUGUCUGUCUUCCUCCCCGAGGCUCACUGUCUUUCCCGCUCACCUCUGCCCUCACUUCUCGUCCCCGCAGUCCCGUGCUCCUUGCGCCACGUGCUGCAAGGCAGCUUCUCUCUCUCUCGCACCAGCUGCCAAAUGGCAGCUCUCAUCUUUCUUUUUUUAUAUAUUUUCUUUUUCUCCUUCUGCCGCAAGGCAGCUGUGCUGCCAGCCUUCUGUCCUCCCUUUAUUUUCUGCAGCUGUCCUCUCCUUGUUCUGCCAGUCAAGCUGCCAAAGGCAGCUUGUGACCUCACCUCAUGCUCAAGCUGCCCCGUUUCUUUUUUUAUCUUUCCUGCACGCUGCCUUCUGUUUCAUUCUUUCCCCUUUCUUCUAAUCCGUCCUCCUUGGAUCCUUUUAGCUGUCUCUCACUCAUCUCUCCACCGCUGCCCAAAAGCAGCUUUCUCCUUUAUUCUUCUUUUUUUUUAUUUCUGGCCUCACCUCCCCGUAGCUAAGUUGUCCUCCUCUUAUUUUCUGUUAUGCCACAAAACAUGAAUCAUGAUGAUGUUUCAAACAUCAUCAUGAUUUAUUAUUAUUAUUUCUUUUAUUAAUUUUAUGUAAAAGUUGAUUUACACAGACAGGUUUAACGAAUUUAUUACAUAAAAUUUCACUUGUUCUAUUUUUAUUUUCUUUGCAUAACAAAUCCUAUAAACACAAAAAUAACGUAAAUAGCUCAAAAAUAUAAGGAACUAACUAAGAAAAGACGAGUGAAUUCGAAGUAAAAAUAUAUAUAAAUAUGAUCCGAUCAAAUACCCCCACACUUAACUUUUGCUAGUCCUCGAGCAAAACAAAGGAAAACAUGAAAAAAGUAAUAACAAUGAAAAACAUUAGCUUCCCUCUAUGUGACCCUCAUAGAAUUUCAUUCAAGAAAACAAAUCAUCAAGAACCAUAGCUAGCACCAAACAAACUAAUCCAAGUUCAUCUUCCUAAUUCAAAUAUUAGCAGUAAUCUUUAAAUCAUCCUUGAAGUGUAGUGUGUGAGAUAGCCAUGCUAAUACAAUUUCAAAUUUUUUUAUAUUUUUAAAAUCAUCAUAUGCAAACUAGCGACCUUCUCACGGGAUAUGCACUCAAUCACACAUGUGUUUAGUUUUAAUGUGUUUCGCUCAAAAAAAAUCAAAUGUGAAAUUUCUACCAUAAGCUUGCAUAAAGAUCACUUGUCCACAGUCAUAAUUGCAAAACUUAAAUCAAGAGGACUUUUAUUGGAUGUAAUGAGGUUUAGGGAUAGGGUUAUUGAAACGAUAGAAUAGGAAAACACAAGUUCCAAGCUACAUUGCAAGCAAUUCUUUUCUUUAGAUUUAUAAGAACUCAAGCUCUCCAACGAUUCUUCUUAAACCUCCAACCACACCCUUAAACUGAAAAUUAAACAACUUUAAAAACAUUUUUUUUUUUCUUUUCUUUUCUUUUCUUCGUAUACAAUCUUUCUUUUUCUUUUUUUUUAUUUUUUUUUAUACAAACAUGAAAUACCCCCACACUUAUUUUUUUGCCAAACACCUUCAAAGUACUUACAAACAUUUCUCAUAAGACAAUCUCGCAUUGCUCGCUUGGAAAGGGUAAGGAAAAAAUGUUUCAGGUGUAAGGGUAGACAUAUCUGGUGAUAAGAAAUAAAAGGUUCAACAUACACGGCUCAAAUUGGCAAUCUAAUGAUAUCAUUUUUCUUUGGGAAACAUGGUUAUUUGGGCCAUGGUGGUAAACCUAAUGCCUCUAUCAUUUCCAAGUUCAUGCAAUCAAUGAUAAACAUUUCGAAAGAUCGUUACGCAAGUUCUAGAGAUAUAUCUCACAUAAGUUCAUCACACAUGAAAGAAUAGGAGUGUAUGAAAAAUGCACACACUUUCAAUAGGCUCAAAAACUCACAUAGGAUGUAUAUGGUCACUAAAUUCACAUAUGAAGCUUUAAGUCAUGCUUUAGUUUCACAUCAACAAGGCUAUGUGCAUUUGGUUUUUCAAAGAUGAUCAAACAUGUACAAAACUAA
This 7004-nucleotide long non-coding RNA is filed under the name Malus domestica (apple). RNAcentral describes it as "long non-coding RNA (MDOM_LNC007100)". The record is from RNAcentral. Lineage: Eukaryota; Viridiplantae; Streptophyta; Magnoliopsida; Rosales; Rosaceae.